Neopelma chrysocephalum (saffron-crested tyrant-manakin) is the source of this 641-nucleotide long non-coding RNA. RefSeq lists it as uncharacterized. Lineage: Eukaryota; Metazoa; Chordata; Aves; Passeriformes; Pipridae. The transcript is spliced from 2 exons. The record is from RefSeq and is a predicted model, not a curated record.
UCAACCCAAACCAUGUGAUUCUGGGAUUUUAUGAUUGACAUAUGCAGGGAAUUGGAACCACAGUGUCUUGAGACUCCAUCAGCAGCUGGGAUAGGACUUGACAGCUGCUAUAAAAUCCUACAAGCUUUUGGGUGAUCUUAGUACCACUGUGCCAUUAGGGAGAGAUAAAGGAACUACUCCCUGGCAAGGCCACAUUAUUCCUAAUGCUACGAUGAAGCGAGGCAUAUUCUUGGAUCAGGUUCAUUCCACAUGUAAGCAAGUCUAAAACUGUGAGACAUUAACAGGCAUCGCCACAGCUCAUUCCAGGAUUGGCUGUUGCUCUGUUAUUUAUCUGCCUUAGAUUUGGAAGCAAGUUCAGCUUGGUCUUGUACGCUGUAAGAAGCUGAGAGCUUCAUGCACAAGGGAAAGUUUUGUCAUCAUAAGAAAUGGAGAAUAACUUUGUUGCUCUGACAGCAUACCAGGAAAAUAAGAUUAGUAAAGUCCCUCAUGUGCUGUCCCUGGAGAGCCCCCACAAAAACCAGGAGCCUGUUUCACUGUCAGUGGCUGCUCUGUGCCCCACUGUCAUUUUUUUUUCCAGUUGGAGUCUGGUUCUGCCAUCUUUCAUGAUAUCAAACAGUAAAACCACAAAGAGUAUGGCCUGA